GUCUAACCUGCCCACUGAAUAAUUUUAAAUGGCCGCAGUAUACUAACUGUGCAAAGGUAGCAUAAUCAUUAGUCUUUUAAUUGAAGGCUGGUAUGAAUGGUUGGACGAGAUAUUAACUGUUUCAUAAUAAUUUAUAUUAGAAUUUUAUUUUUUAGUCAAAAAGCUAAAAUAUUAUUAAAAGACGAGAAGACCCUAUAAAUCUUUAUAUAUAAGUUAUUAAAAUUUUUUAGAUUUUUUUUAUUAUAAUAAUUGAUUAUAUUUUAUUGGGGUGAUAUUAAAAUUUAAUAAACUUUUAAUUUUUUAAACCAUUAAUUUAUGAAUAAUUGAUCCGUUAAUAGCGAUUAAAAAAAUAAGUUACUUUAGGGAUAACAGCGUAAUUUUUUUGGAGAGUUCAUAUCGAUAAAAAAGAUUGCGACCUCGAUGUUGGAUUAAGAUAUAAUUUUAGGUGUAGCCGCUUAAAUUUUAAGUCUGUUCGACUUUUAAAAUCUUACGUGAUCUGAUUCCA
RNAcentral lists this ribosomal RNA (505 nucleotides) under Sarcophagidae sp. BAH_28365_B11. RNAcentral's name for it is "partial 16S ribosomal RNA". It matches the Rfam family "Bacterial large subunit ribosomal RNA", at positions 1852 to 2613 of the family's 2925-position model. The record is from RNAcentral. Lineage: Eukaryota; Metazoa; Arthropoda; Insecta; Diptera; Sarcophagidae.